UUAUGUUUUCAUACUCAGGACAAAACUGAAGUUUUAACCAUUGGUCCUGAAGACGAGAGAGAUCUUUUUAUCUAAA
Molecule: long non-coding RNA, 76 nt
Organism: Melanotaenia boesemani (Boeseman's rainbowfish)
Lineage: Eukaryota; Metazoa; Chordata; Actinopteri; Atheriniformes; Melanotaeniidae
Exons: 3
Source: RefSeq, a predicted model, not a curated record